Molecule: ribosomal RNA, 1007 nt
Filed under: human gut metagenome
Description: bacterial SSU rRNA
Rfam family: Bacterial small subunit ribosomal RNA
Source: RNAcentral
GAACGCUGGCGGCGUGCCUAACACAUGCAAGUCGAACGGAGAUAAGCGCUGAUGAUUUAGCUUGCUAGAGAUUCUUGUUUAUCUUAGUGGCGGACGGGUGAGUAACGCGUGAGCAACCUGCCUUUCAGAGGGGGAUAACGUCUUGAAAAGGACGCUAAUACCGCAUGAUAUUAUGGAGCCACAUGGCUCUAUAAUCAAAGGAGCAAUCCGCUGAAAGAUGGGCUCGCGUCCGAUUAGGUAGUUGGCGGGAUAACAGCCCACCAAGCCGACGAUCGGUAGCCGGACUGAGAGGUUGAACGGCCACAUUGGGACUGAGACACGGCCCAGACUCCUACGGGAGGCAGCAGUGAGGGAUAUUGGUCAAUGGGGGAAACCCUGAACCAGCAACGCCGCGUGAGGGAUGACGGCCUUCGGGUUGUAAACCUCUGUCCUCUGUGAAGAUAAUGACGGUAGCAGAGGAGGAAGCUCCGGCUAACUACGUGCCAGCAGCCGCGGUAAUACGUAGGGAGCAAGCGUUGUCCGGAUUUACUGGGUGUAAAGGGUGCGUAGGCGGUUUGGUAAGUCAGAAGUGAAAUCCAUGGGCUUAACCCAUGAACUGCUUUUGAAACUAUCGAACUUGAGUGAAGUAGAGGUAGGCGGAAUUCCCGGUGUAGCGGUGAAAUGCGUAGAGAUCGGGAGGAACACCAGUGGCGAAGGCGGCCUACUGGGCUUUAACUGACGCUGAGGCACGAAAGCAUGGGUAGCAAACAGGAUUAGAUACCCUGGUAGUCCAUGCCGUAAACGAUGAUUACUAGGUGUGGGGGGUCUGACCCCCUCCGUGCCGGAGUUAACACAAUAAGUAAUCCACCUGGGGAGUACGACCGCAAGGUUGAAACUCAAAGGAAUUGACGGGGGCCCGCACAAGCAGUGGAGGAUGUGGAUUAAUUCGAAGCAACGCGAAGAACCUUACCAGGUCUUGACAUCCAGCUAACGAAGUAGAGAUACAUUAGGUGCCCUUCGGGGAAAGC